Molecule: small RNA, 67 nt
Organism: Pontibacillus marinus BH030004 = DSM 16465
Lineage: Bacteria; Bacillati; Bacillota; Bacilli; Caryophanales; Bacillaceae
Rfam family: Bacillaceae-1 RNA
Source: Rfam
GAGAAAGAAUGAUCGACUAAAACCGUCACGUCCUGUGACAACGUCGAUCUGACCCACGUCGUGUGGG